GCCAGGCGAGGGAGCUGGUCGCUUGCUUGCUCCUCUCUCCGUCUCUGAUUUCGGCUGAGAUGAACGCGGCUUUCCCCAGAACUUUGUUUUGAAGCGGCAUCCGGCAUCCGCGCCCACCCGCCCGGCAGCCCCCCUUCCCGGCACCCGGGCAAUUGAGGAGCGAGGCGUUGCGGCGGCGGCGGCAUCUUCUCUCCAUCAGCAACAGGGAGCCCACGGAGGAAGGACCCGGGUGCUGAAUUUCCCCGCUGCGGCAGAAAGGCGUUGGAAAAGUCUGGGAAGGGCUGAGGCAUCUGGUCCAUAUUUCUCCCCAGAGAUCCUGUUGACUUUUGCAGCAAGAUGGAAAGUGAUGCAACUUGGGUAAGAGAGCAUUAAAAUGAGCAGGCAACCAAUUUAUUUAUUUAUCUACCUAUUUAUUAUAUCUCACUUUCCCCCCGAAGCAGCUGCAUACACAGUUCUUCCCCUGUCACCCGCUAUUUAAUCCCCACGAUGACCCUGUGAGGUAUGUUUUGGCUGAGAGGCAGUGACGGGCUCAAGAUCACCCAGUGAGCGGUGCAGGGAUUUUAAUUCUGGUCUCUCAGGUCCUAGUCCGACAUUCUAACCCGGCGUUUCUCAGCCUUGGGUCCCACAAUGCUGUUGGACUACAACUCCCAUCAUUCCUAGCCAGCAUGGCUAUACAGUGGUACCUCGGGUUACAUACGCUUCAGGUUACAGACUCCGCUAACUCAGAAAUAUUACCUCGGGUUAAGAACUUUUCUUCAGGAUGAGAACAGAAAUUGUGCUCUGGCAGCGCGACGGCAGCAGGAGGCCCCAUUAGCUAAAGUGGUACUUCAGGUUAAGAACAGUUUCAGGUUAAGAACAGACCUCCAGAAUGAAUUAAGUACUUAACCCGAGGUACCACUGUAUGUAAGGGAUAUAAUAAAUGUAUAAAAGAUGGGAUAUAAAUGUAACAAAUAAAUUAAAAAAGAAUCCUGGGAAGGGCACUUUACCCCUAACAGAGCUACAAUUCCCAGCACCCUUAACAAGUUAAAGUUCCCAGGAUCCUUUGGGGGGAAUCAUGCACUUUAAAUGUGUGGUUGCGGCCUGAGAAUUCCAGU
Molecule: long non-coding RNA, 1094 nt
Filed under: Podarcis muralis (Common wall lizard)
Lineage: Eukaryota; Metazoa; Chordata; Lepidosauria; Squamata; Lacertidae
Description: lncRNA (ENSPMRG00000000958.1)
Source: RNAcentral